Molecule: long non-coding RNA, 474 nt
Filed under: Manacus vitellinus (golden-collared manakin)
Lineage: Eukaryota; Metazoa; Chordata; Aves; Passeriformes; Pipridae
Description: lncRNA (ENSMVIG00005001094.1)
Source: RNAcentral
UUUAGUUCCCUUAAAUCCCCCCUUCCCUGGAACUACCCAGGGGCUUCUUUUCCCCCUUUUUGCUUCUCUGAAGGCUCAAUUCAAUAAAUACACAUCCGGCUCCUUGGGAGCUUAAUGAAAUUGCGGGAGGCACUUCCAAGAGCAGGAUGUUUAUUUUUCUCUGCUGCUGCAGGUCCUGCGUGCCCGGAGAGCUCCAUAAAGAGCCCCUUGUGCCUGAGCGGGAACGCUGGGGCAGCCGGGAAGUGCUGCACUCACUCAACACCGGGCUCCUCUUACUGCACAGCCGGCUGCCUUUCCAGGGAAUUUAGGAAAACGAGCCCAGUGUUAAGGAGACAAACACUGGUUUGGGACCCUGAGGUGCAGCGAGGAUGGAUGGAUUCAGAAAAUUUGGAAAGAUGCAGAAAAUUUGGAUGCAUUCCAAUGGCAGGGGUUCAUGGUGAGUCCUGUUCCUUUUGGGCCUGGCACUGAACAUUC